UGGGAAGACAUCUGUUGGCUGUCCUCGCACCACAAACAGGCGAGAGUUGAGUUUCCUUAAACUGUUGUCCAGAUCUUCCAGAGACUGGAGCAGAAAUCGCCAGCGGUUGAUGCCCACGGCCGACGAGGCGGCGAACCACGGGUCCAGGAUGUAGAUGCAGCGGAGAGAGGCGGCGCCCCGCAGAGCCGCCUGCAGCGCCGGGUUGUCGUGGAGGCGCAGUCCGCGGCGGAACCAGUGCACGGAGCGGCAAAAGCCGCGCGGCGGGGACGCGGCCGCCGCCAUCACGGGCAACCGCCGCGGCCUCCUCGCCUCGCCCGCCC
Molecule: long non-coding RNA, 320 nt
Filed under: Gallus gallus (chicken)
Lineage: Eukaryota; Metazoa; Chordata; Aves; Galliformes; Phasianidae
Source: RNAcentral